GUCUUUUUGAGUUAUUUUUAAAGUCUGACCUGCCCACUGAAUUUAUUUUAAAUGGCCGCAGUAUUCUAACUGUGCAAAGGUAGCAUAAUCAUUAGUCUUUUAAUUGAAGGCUGGUAUGAACGGUUGGACGAGGUAUAAGCUGUUUCAUAUAAAUUUAUAAUAGAAUUUUAUAUUUUAGUCAAAAAGCUAAAAUGUAAUUAAAAGACGAGAAGACCCUAUAAAUCUUUAUAAUUUAUAUAAUUUAAAUUUUUUGGAUUUGUUUUAUUUUUAUUGUAUAAAUUAUUUUGUUGGGGUGAUGUUAAAAUUUAAUGAACUUUUAAUUGAAUUUAAAUCAUUAAUUUAUGAAUUAUUGAUCCAUUAGUAGUGAUUAUAAGAUUAAGUUACUUUAGGGAUAACAGCGUAAUUUUUUUGGAGAGUUCAUAUCGAUAAAAAAGUUUGCGACCUCGAUGUUGGAUUAAGAUAUAAUUUUAGGUGUAGCCGCUUAAAUGUUAAGUCUGUUCGACUUUUAAAUUCUU
RNAcentral lists this ribosomal RNA (515 nucleotides) under Dacus bivittatus. RNAcentral's name for it is "partial 16S ribosomal RNA". The stretch from base 391 to 515 matches the Rfam family "Bacterial large subunit ribosomal RNA", at positions 2473 to 2597 of the family's 2925-position model. The record is from RNAcentral. Lineage: Eukaryota; Metazoa; Arthropoda; Insecta; Diptera; Tephritidae.